Molecule: ribosomal RNA, 242 nt
Filed under: uncultured bacterium
Lineage: Bacteria
Description: partial 16S ribosomal RNA
Rfam family: Bacterial small subunit ribosomal RNA
Source: RNAcentral
UACGAAGGGGGCUAGCGUUGCUCGGAAUCACUGGGCGUAAAGGGCGCGUAGGCGGCCAUUCAAGUCGGGGGUGAAAGCCUGUGGCUCAACCCGACAGAAUUGCCUUCGAUACUGUUUGGCUUGAGUAUGGUAGAGGUCAGUGGAACUGCGAGUGUAGAGGUGAAAUUCGUAGAUAUUCGCAAGAACACCAGUGGCGAAGGCGGCUGACUGGACCUUACUGACGCUGAGGCGGCGAAAAGCGG